Long non-coding RNA from Perca fluviatilis (European perch), 111 nucleotides. RefSeq lists it as uncharacterized. The record is from RefSeq and is a predicted model, not a curated record. Lineage: Eukaryota; Metazoa; Chordata; Actinopteri; Perciformes; Percidae. The transcript is spliced from 2 exons.
CAUUAGGUGAUUUUACAAAGAGCUGGGACAAUGUGGCUGUGUUAGUUGAUGAAACACUUAUACCACAAGAGCUGUGUAGCCCGAUCCUACAGACCCCAACACACCAGAACA